GAUGAACGCUAGCGAUAGGCUUAACACAUGCAAGUCGAGGGGCAGCAUGGUCUUAGCUUGCUAAGACUGAUGGCGACCGGCGCACGGGUGCGUAACGCGUAUGCAACUUGCCUCACAGAGGGGGAUAACCCGUCGAAAGACGGACUAAUACCGCGUACACUCCAUCUUGGGCAUCCAAGGUAGAGGAAAUGAAAUUCGCUGUGAGAUAGGCAUGCGUCCCAUUAGCUAGUUGGUGAGGUAACGGCUCACCAAGGCGACGAUGGGUAGGGGAACUGAGAGGUUGAACCCCCACACUGGUACUGAGACACGGACCAGACGACUACGGGAGGCAGCAGUGAGGAAUAUUGGUCAAUGGGCGAGAGCCUGAACCAGCCAAGUCGCGUGAAGGAUGACUGUCUUAUGGAUUGUAAACUUCUUUUAUACGGGAAUAACAAGAGUCACGUGUGACUCCCUGCAUGUACUGUAUGAAUAAGCAUCGGCUAACUCCGUG
This 490-nucleotide ribosomal RNA is filed under the name uncultured bacterium. RNAcentral's name for it is "partial 16S ribosomal RNA". It matches the Rfam family "Bacterial small subunit ribosomal RNA", at positions 28 to 507 of the family's 1533-position model. The record is from RNAcentral.